Molecule: ribosomal RNA, 430 nt
Filed under: uncultured Bifidobacterium sp.
Lineage: Bacteria; Bacillati; Actinomycetota; Actinomycetes; Bifidobacteriales; Bifidobacteriaceae
Description: bacterial SSU rRNA
Rfam family: Bacterial small subunit ribosomal RNA
Source: RNAcentral
GGGGUCGCGUCCUAUCAGCUUGUUGGCGGGGUGAUGGCCUGCCAAGGCUUCGACGGGUAGCCGGCCUGAGAGGGCGACCGGCCACAUUGGGACUGAGAUACGGCCCAGACUCCUACGGGAGGCAGCAGUGGGGAAUAUUGCACAAUGGGCGAAAGCCUGAUGCAGCGACGCCGCGUGCGGGAUGACGGCCUUCGGGUUGUAAACCGCUUUUGAUUGGGAGCAAGCGAGAGUGAGUGUACCUUUCGAAUAAGCACCGGCUAACUACGUGCCAGCAGCCGCGGUAAUACGUAGGGUGCAAGCGUUAUCCGGAUUUAUUGGGCGUAAAGAGCUCGUAGGCGGUUCGUCGCGUCUGGUGUGAAAGUCCAUCGCUUAACGGUGGAUCGGCGCCGGGUACGGGCGGACUGGAGUGCGGUAGGGGAGACUGGAAUUC